This 357-nucleotide long non-coding RNA is filed under the name Nicotiana benthamiana. RNAcentral describes it as "long non-coding RNA (NBEN_LNC031850)". The record is from RNAcentral. Lineage: Eukaryota; Viridiplantae; Streptophyta; Magnoliopsida; Solanales; Solanaceae.
GACACAUUGUCAUCAUUACAAAAAUCAGACAAAGCACAUACAGAAGUAGAUGAAGAACCAGUAGAGGAAGAAGGGGAAGGUGGCAUCCAAGACAGUUUGUAUAGGCCAGCUUCCUCUUUACCAAGAUCCAGAAGCCUCUUCAGAGAAGGGUCCUGUAUCAUGUGGAGUAAACAGGAAGUUGGAGUAAACAAAACUAUGCAGUGCAACUGUUUUACUAACUUGUGGACAGAAAUCAAGUUAUGUUUAAAGGAAGGGACUAGCAGUACAUUGUGAAGAGUAAUGAAUGAAGUUAUUGCAAAAGAACCUGUACAAGUUACUUUCACUUUGUAACCAUUAGGCAAAGUUACAAGAUAAGGN